CGCUCCUGCCCUGUUGGGCGGGACGGGAAGAACGCCGCUCUCCGGAGCGGCGUUUUUUUUGCGCAAA
RNAcentral lists this unclassified non-coding RNA (67 nucleotides) under Luteibacter sp. 22Crub2.1. Its description in RNAcentral is "suhB". Lineage: Bacteria; Pseudomonadati; Pseudomonadota; Gammaproteobacteria; Lysobacterales; Rhodanobacteraceae. RNAcentral also lists the same sequence under 1 other name. The record is from RNAcentral.